RNAcentral lists this long non-coding RNA (1986 nucleotides) under Megachile rotundata (alfalfa leafcutting bee). RNAcentral describes it as "uncharacterized LOC105664363". Lineage: Eukaryota; Metazoa; Arthropoda; Insecta; Hymenoptera; Megachilidae. The record is from RNAcentral.
CACCUUUUUGUUGCGUUAACGCGCAUUCCAGCCCGCUAAUCGCAAUAAUGGAAAUUAAUAAUCGGUCUGUCGUUAACAUCGUCGCCACCGAAAAUUAAAAUCGUGUGUUGAAAUGCGUUUCGAUCGAACUGAUUCUGUGAACGAUUUCUAAUUAAAAUUGCACCAUUAAUUCGACAGAAAAUAAAGAGCUUAAGUUAGACCAAUAUAUCAGGAAAUUCUGGCAAUGAUUCGAACUGGAAGCUCUUGAAAUUUCCUUCAAUUACCGACACACUGGCAGAGCUUGUAGCUGUCGAGAGCGUUUAACAAGGACCACGUGUGUAAGACAAUUCUCGACGGUUGUUACGGUCCGAGGAUCGUUGCACGAGCAACGACAAACAACAACAGGAUUCAGCUGCCGCUGUUUCUGCCCACGCAACGGCCAACAAAUGUCAGAACUGUAAUCCGGAUGAAAUUAAAGCGCGGAAUUAGCACUGUCAGUUCACAGAGCGCAGCACUCUAAGAUCUUCGCGAAGAAGAGGAAGCAAAGCGGUCGUCAGAAGGGCAGUUGAGAUCUCGCCAAAGGGUGAUUAAUGAACACGGAAGAAGAAGAAGAAGAAGAAGAAGAAGAUGAAGACGAAGAAGAAGAAGUCGAAGAUUCGGCCGCUGUCAGCUGGAACACGAGAUCGUCCGGAGGAAUAUUCUUUUUAGUCCGGUCAUAAAUCCGCGCGGCGAAAUUCGCCGGUUGAACGAGCCGCGAGCGCGAUUAAAUAUUAACUACGUGGCCGAUUAUGUAAUUAAAAGGGUAUUCGUAGUAAUUGGGAGGACGGGGGCUUAACGAGCUUUCUAAAAUUUCCGAAGAUAAUUGCGCGUGCAGCCCGCGUGAUUAUCGGCGGUUCGCUAAUUACGGGCUAACGCGGAUCGUUUCUCUUUUCCAGCUAUUACGCUCCAAGUCGCCGCUCCUCGCCGCGGAAACUGGCAAACGCCUCCACCGGAUCCCGGAACUUCCUUAUCUUGCUUUUCGACUUUCCCUUCGAAACAGGAACUAACAUCGAGAACUUUGUUGCCCAAACUUUGCACCCCGUUUUCGCAUCGAUACGCACCAUCUACCCUCUUGCAUGGAAUCUCUAAUUGUUUCUACGAGCAAAAUUAUUCGAGUCGCUUUCUACGAUUUUGCUGGGCAAAUAUUUACGGUUGAUCAGAAAAUCGGAUUCGAUAAAAUAAAACAAUCGGGUGAAUAUAGAACGCGAACAAUGCAGAUUGAGUUAUAGACGGGACCAUUUAAUGCAGUCAUUAAGGAAUCAUUAAUCUUCCUCCUUAGUGUGCAUGACAACGGAGUCAUUGUUGGAACAGGUGCUACUUAGGAGGCUGAGAUCAUUAGCCGAAUAAAUGGAAUCAGCCCUGCGCGGAAUAAAAGAAUCGAUGAUAGGAAUCUUAACGGGGAACGAACCGUGGCGUUUCUAUAAUUGCGGCAAUUAAGUGAAGUCAAAGUGCGAAUAAAAACUCUGUAUCAUCGGUUUUGACCAUAGCUAAUAACUUCAAUUUUAAAUAUUAUCUGUAAUCAGGAUUUUUGGGAAGGUAACUCUGCUUAGACACUUGUGGAAUUAAUUAUAGUAUGUUUUACAUUUAUGUUUUUAAUGUGUUACAUAUAUUUUAUUCAUACACAUACUCCAAACUUGAUGAGUUACAUGAUACAAUAUAGAUAUUUUAUGUUUUUAAGAAAACUUGUGUAACUUGAAAUAGUCGACAUGUAAAAUAAAGGCAAGUGCAAUUUAAUUAUUAAGAUUUUAUGAUCUCGACUAAAGAUAUCGCACGUGAACUAAAACUACUGUAUCUAAAGAAUUGUAAAUGAAUUUUUAUUUAAAUUUGUGAGGUUAUUUUUACAAUAUAAUGGUAAGAGUGCUAUAUGAAUGAGGUUGGUAAGAGUGCUGAGUGAGUGAAGUUGGUAUGAAUAUAAAAGAAGCGAGAAUCAGAGAUUGCCAGGGUUGGAACAGAGUUUGAAUAAGAAAA